Molecule: long non-coding RNA, 457 nt
Organism: Fukomys damarensis (Damara mole-rat)
Lineage: Eukaryota; Metazoa; Chordata; Mammalia; Rodentia; Bathyergidae
Exons: 4
Source: RefSeq, a predicted model, not a curated record
UACAGCCUGGCUGGUUUUAUUGUUGUUGUUUGGGCAGAGGCUAAGAGAAGUGAAGAAGAGGCAAGAAAAAGACAAUAAACAGAUGGAGCAACAGAAAGUCUGCAAGGGAAAAAUAAGUUCUCAGUCCAUCUCCACUGAUGGUGUGACCUUCAGAUGGUGUUACCCUUCUAUGAGAGACCUUAAAGGAUGUCAUGUGGCACAGAAAACCCACUAGACUGCUUGGCCCUUAGAGAAGAAACUGAAAAUGCAUGUGCAGCAAUUUCAAUAACCAAGGUUACCCAAGUAGCAGUUAACCAUACUAAUAAAUGUCUGGAAGCCAAUGGCCACUUAAAGCACUUCUUGUAAUUGUAGCAGGCAAAGUAAUUGCAUAGUACAGACAGCCUAUGAAUCAGAGCAUGGUGAUUUGGCCAGCAGGACACCAGAAGAAGGGAAAGGACCACCAUGUUGCUCAAACUGA